UCAGUUCGGCUGGAUCGGUGACAGGUGCUGCAUGGCUGUCGUCAGCUCGUGUCGUGAGAUGUUGGGUUAAGUCCCGCAACGAGCGCAACCCUUGUCCUUAGUUGCCAGCAUUCAGUUGGGCACUCUAAGGAGACUGCCGGUGUCAAACCGGAGGAAGGUGGGGAUGACGUCAAGUCCUCAUGGCCCUUAUGUCCAGGGCUACACACGUGCUACAAUGGCCGGUACAAAGGGGCGCAAGACCGCGAGGUGGAGCAAAUCCCAAAAACCAGUCGUAGUCCGGAUCGCAGUCUGCAACUCGACUGCGUGAAGUCGGAAUCGCUAGUAAUCGCGGAUCAGAAUGUCGCGGUGAAUACGUUCCCGGGUCUU
This 366-nucleotide ribosomal RNA is filed under the name uncultured Desulfuromonas sp. RNAcentral's name for it is "bacterial SSU rRNA". It matches the Rfam family "Bacterial small subunit ribosomal RNA", at positions 1014 to 1382 of the family's 1533-position model. The record is from RNAcentral. Lineage: Bacteria; Pseudomonadati; Thermodesulfobacteriota; Desulfuromonadia; Desulfuromonadales; Desulfuromonadaceae.